Non-coding RNA from Pelobates cultripes (western spadefoot toad), 248 nucleotides. Lineage: Eukaryota; Metazoa; Chordata; Amphibia; Anura; Pelobatidae. The record is from the annotation of a GenBank genome assembly.
ACAACCGAUUUCUCUGGGCUGCGGAUCUGGAGAGCGUCCUUAAGAGUGGUAUGGGUGGUCGACAGAUGUCUUUGUUCCGGCAACAGAUAGGGAGCGACAGUCAUGAAGGGUUAGAGAGUCAGCCGAUGCCUUUAAUGGGCCAUUUUAAACAGUCUCUGUCCAGGUGAGCCAUGGGGUAUGUAGGAUGGACCGGGCCACUGUGAGUUUCAGUUCCCAUUGCUUUUGUCUGUCUCCGACCUGUGUCACCU